Long non-coding RNA from Oncorhynchus kisutch (coho salmon), 253 nucleotides. RefSeq lists it as uncharacterized. NCBI's taxonomy places the organism in Eukaryota, Metazoa, Chordata, Actinopteri, Salmoniformes, Salmonidae. The record is from RefSeq and is a predicted model, not a curated record. The transcript is spliced from 3 exons.
AGUUGUCCACCCCUGGUCUAGGUUGUCAGGAACAAUGGUGGACAUCUUGAAGCAAGUGCGGACAGCAGACUGGGAUAGGGAGUGUGACAAUAAUGCUAGUACCAACUCGAACCCAGGCGCAGAGAAACACAGCAGGCAGAGAUUGUCCAAAUGCAGGAUGAUGUCAGUACGGACACGUUUGUCCAGGACCUCUCCAUGACCCUGCAGCCUGUGAAGGUGGCCCUCACACUGCCUUCCUAGAGUUCAGCUGACC